AUUGAACGCUGGCGGCAGGCCUAACACAUGCAAGUCGAACGAGUGGCGGACGGGUGAGUAAUGUCUGGGAAACUGCCCGAUGGAGGGGGAUAACUACUGGAAACGGUAGCUAAUACCGCAUACCAUCGGAUGUGCCCAGAUGGGAUUAGCUUGUAGGUGAGGUAACGGAUCACCUAGGCGACGAUCCCUAGCUGGUCUGAGGGGAUGACCAGCCAGACUGGAACUGAGCCACGGUCCAGCCGCGUACGUGAGGCAGCAGGGGGGAAUAUGGCACAAUGGGUGGAAGACUGACGCAGCCAUGCCGCGGGUAUGAAGAAGGCCUUCGGGUUUUAAAGUACUUUCAGCGGGGGGGCGUUAUCCGCAGAAGAAGCACCGGCUAACUCCGUGCCAGCAGCCGCGGUAAUUC
This 406-nucleotide ribosomal RNA is filed under the name uncultured bacterium. RNAcentral's name for it is "partial 16S ribosomal RNA". It matches the Rfam family "Bacterial small subunit ribosomal RNA", at positions 30 to 526 of the family's 1533-position model. The record is from RNAcentral.